Molecule: ribosomal RNA, 109 nt
Filed under: Chinchilla lanigera (long-tailed chinchilla)
Lineage: Eukaryota; Metazoa; Chordata; Mammalia; Rodentia; Chinchillidae
Source: RNAcentral
GUCCACAGCCAUACACCUGAAUGUGCCUGAUCUCGUCUGAUUUCAGAAGUUAAGCAGGGUCGGGCUUGUUUAGUACUUGGAUGGGAGAAAUGGUAUGGCAUUGUGUAGC